GCCAGUUUGGCUCAGUAGAUAGAGCAUCAGCCUGCAAGCUGAAGGGUCUCGGGUUCAAUUCCAGUCAAGGGCA
Non-coding RNA from Myotis brandtii (Brandt's bat), 73 nucleotides. Lineage: Eukaryota; Metazoa; Chordata; Mammalia; Chiroptera; Vespertilionidae. The record is from Rfam.